This 252-nucleotide ribosomal RNA is filed under the name uncultured bacterium. RNAcentral's name for it is "partial 16S ribosomal RNA". It matches the Rfam family "Bacterial small subunit ribosomal RNA", at positions 524 to 776 of the family's 1533-position model. The record is from RNAcentral.
UACAGAGGAUGCAAGCGUUAUCCGGAAUGAUUGGGCGUAAAGCGUCUGUAGGUGGCUUUUAAGUCCGCCGUCAAAUCCCAGGGCUCAACUCUGGACAGGCGGUGGAAACUACCAAGCUGGAGUACGGUAGGGGCAGGCGGAAUUCCGGGUGUAGCGGUGGAAUGCGUAGAGAUCCGGAAGAACACCGGUGGCGAAGGCGGCCUGCUGGGCAGUUGCUGACACUGAGGCGCGACAGCGUGGGGAGCAAACAGG